CAGAGGUGAAAUUCUUGGAUUUAUUGAAGACUAACUACUGCGAAAGCAUUUGCCAAGGAUGUUUUCAUUAAUCAGGAACGAAAGUUAGGGGAUCGAAGACGAUCAGAUACCGUCGUAGUCUUAACCAUAAACUAUGCCGACUAGGGAUCGGACGAUGUUAUUUUUUGACGCGUUCGGCACCUUACGAGAAAUCAAAGUGCUUGGGCUCCAGGGGGAGUAUGGUCGCAAGGUUGAAACUUAAAGAAAUUGACGGGAGGGCACCACCAGGGGUGGAGCCUGCGGCUUAAUUUGACUCAACACGGGGAAACUCACCAGGUCCAGACACAAUGAGGAUUGACAGAUUGAGAGCUCUUUCUUGAUUUUGUGGGUGGUGGUGCAUGGCCGUUCUUAGUUGGUGGAGUGAUUUGUCUGCUUAAUUGCGAUAACGAACGAGACCUUAACCUGCUAAAUAGCCCGUAUUGCUUUGGCAGUACGCUGGCUUCUUAGAGGGACUAUCGGCUCAAGCCGAUGGAAGUUUGAGGCAAUAACAGGUCUGUGAUGCCCUUAGAUGUUCUGGGCCGCACGCGCGCUACACUGACGGAGCCAGCGGAGUACUCCCUUGGCCGGAAGGCCCGGGUAAUCUGUAGUACUCCC
RNAcentral lists this ribosomal RNA (633 nucleotides) under uncultured fungus. Its description in RNAcentral is "SSU rRNA". It matches the Rfam family "Eukaryotic small subunit ribosomal RNA", at positions 906 to 1563 of the family's 1831-position model. Lineage: Eukaryota; Fungi. The record is from RNAcentral.